Long non-coding RNA from Platichthys flesus (European flounder), 915 nucleotides. RefSeq lists it as uncharacterized. The transcript has 3 exons. Lineage: Eukaryota; Metazoa; Chordata; Actinopteri; Pleuronectiformes; Pleuronectidae. The record is from RefSeq and is a predicted model, not a curated record.
CGCACAAAUGGACACACGUCAACACGGGCAGAUUGCACUGCUGACAGUGGGACACAAAGGCUUGACCAGACGCAUACAGGUGGUUUAAAAGACAGGCCGACGGGUAUCUGUGGAGCUGCCGGCAGGAAACACGCGGGCCGCCUGUCUGUAGAUAGCGCCCGCCUGCCAGCCCUGAAACAUUUUAAUCAUUUGACGGCCAAUUACUCUGGAGCCAGGCAGAGCAGAACAAAAACUCACACUUCCCUUCCCCGGCACUCGCAGAUGGCCCUGCAGGCUGGACCUGCAUUGCCUGUCUUCACUCUACCUGUCUACUCAGCUAGCAUUGCUCCAUCCUGAUACGGAUGAAAAAGCAAUGAAAUAAGGUGCUUGCCGAGCCUGAACAGAGAGGAAGCCGGGGAUAUCCAUCACUAAUCGAAAAUGAUGGAGCCAUAAUGUGACAUGUCCUAUCACACCAUCUAUGGCAGCAUCACAGAGCAGAAAGAGAAAUCCAAUAUCAACUGGACCUGAAAUUACAACCUCCCUCUUAAGCAACUGCGUUAAAUCCUGGAGAUCAUGUCAAAUAAUCAAUCCACUCAUGUUGAAAGGCUUCAAGAGGAUAUUGAUCUUGGUCUCUGUGGUGAACAACCAACACCAGAGGCAUCUAUCAUCGUUUCUGGGCCACGGCCCAGAGCUGAAACGAUCCAUGUGACGGAGGUGGGAGCCAUCCUGCAGUCUGACCCAUUAAAACUCUGUGAAGCUACGUCCAUCUCACAGGACGUCUGCUCCACACGCUCGUCCUUGAGGCACCGCUCAUACUUCAAAAAGUGCUGCGUUGAAAAACUGCACAGGUCUGCAAUUAUGUGCGUGUGCAACUAAAGGCAGCAGUGAGAAAUCUCCUUUGAUAAUAAUAAUCCAUGAGUUCAAAAGGUGCAACGA